RNAcentral lists this small RNA (355 nucleotides) under uncultured fungus. RNAcentral's name for it is "eukaryotic LSU rRNA". The stretch from base 1 to 87 matches the Rfam family "5.8S ribosomal RNA", at positions 68 to 154 of the family's 154-position model. Lineage: Eukaryota; Fungi. The record is from RNAcentral.
UGAAUUGCAGAAUUCAGUGAAUCAUCGAAUCUUUGAACGCACCUUGCGCCCAUUGGUAUUCCGAUGGGCAUGCCUGUUUGAGUGUCUUGAAAUCAUCAAGCCCGUUCGGUUUCACCGCCGAGCGGGAUUGGACUUGGGGGCUUGCCGCUUCGCCGCGGCUCCCCUUAAAUGAAUCGGUUUCGGGUCUCUGUGGGAGUAACCCCUUGGGCGUUGUAUAACCCUCGCCGUCUGGGAACUCCUCGCGACGUCCGCGUCGUCGAAGGGCCUUGAAGGAACCUCGACCUGCUGUAGAGCGGCGGUCAACGUUAAUUUGAAAUCUGACCUCAAAUCAGGUAGGACUACCCGCUGAACUUAA